CCUUCAAUAGCCAGCUUACAAUUCAUUUGUCUCCCAUCAAUGUUCUUUACAGGCUCCGCUAACGCUGCCUGAGCCCCUUCUGCUGUCUUAUAAACGAAAAGUGCAAAACCCCUUGAUUUCCCCGUCUGCUUAUCGAACCCCAAGGGCCCCUCUUCUAUUUCCCCAUACUGAGCAAAAUGGCCCAAUAACUUAUCCGCCGGCAUAUCAUACGGUACAUUGGCUACAUAAAUCUUCCUCAUAUGAAUAUCCACCGGGUUACUAUUCGUCGCCGAAUUCCCCGCCGCCGCCAGCUGUGUCACGGUGACUCUCCCGUCGAUUUUCUUACUGGGUUCUUUAAGAGCAAGCAAAGCACCAUCUACGUGCUUAAACGUAACGAAUCCAUACCCUUUCGAUUUCCCGGUAGUCUUGUCGAGGAUAACAACCGCUUCUUCGAGUUCUCCAUAGACCGAAAAGAGUGAACGAAGGCCAUCAGUUGUG
This 477-nucleotide long non-coding RNA is filed under the name Gossypium barbadense (sea-island cotton). RNAcentral's name for it is "long non-coding RNA (GBAR_LNC000135)". Lineage: Eukaryota; Viridiplantae; Streptophyta; Magnoliopsida; Malvales; Malvaceae. The record is from RNAcentral.